Molecule: ribosomal RNA, 640 nt
Filed under: Geobacillus thermoleovorans
Lineage: Bacteria; Bacillati; Bacillota; Bacilli; Caryophanales; Anoxybacillaceae
Description: bacterial SSU rRNA
Rfam family: Bacterial small subunit ribosomal RNA
Source: RNAcentral
UGGCAUGCGCGUGCUAUACAUGCAGUCGAGCGGACCAGAGAUUCGGAGCUUGCUCUGGUUUGGUCAGCGGCGGACGGGUGAGUAACACGUGGGCAACCUGCCCGCAAGACCGGGAUAACUCCGGGAAACCGGAGCUAAUACCGGAUAACACCGAAGACCGCAUGGUCUUUGGUUGAAAGGCGGCCUUUGGCUGUCACUUGCGGAUGGGCCCGCGGCGCAUUAGCUAGUUGGUGAGGUAACGGCUCACCAAGGCGACGAUGCGUAGCCGGCCUGAGAGGGUGACCGGCCACACUGGGACUGAGACACGGCCCAGACUCCUACGGGAGGCAGCAGUAGGGAAUCUUCCGCAAUGGGCGAAAGCCUGACGGAGCGACGCCGCGUGAGCGAAGAAGGCCUUCGGGUCGUAAAGCUCUGUUGUGAGGGACGAAGGAGCGCCGUUCGAAGAGGGCGGCGCGGUGACGGUACCUCACGAGGAAGCCCCGGCUAACUACGUGCCAGCAGCCGCGGUAAUACGUAGGGGGCGAGCGUUGUCCGGAAUUAUUGGGCGUAAAGCGCGCGCAGGCGGUCCCUUAAGUCUGAUGUGAAAGCCCACGGCUCAACCGUGGAGGGUCAUUGGAAACUGGGGGACUUGAGUGCAGGA